AUGAUGGAAUCUGAUCCAUUAUGGCCUUGUGUUGGUAGUUGCAGUUACACAAUGAUGAAUUGUGUUUACUUUUUUUAUGGAAAUAGAGAAGCCGAUUAUUCUAUUUGCAAGACGGUUAUCCUAAAUUCUAAUUCAGACAUUAGUGAUGAUACAACAAUGUUCUCCACCAAAAUUGUGAUUUCGGGCGAGCUUAGCUUAGGGUGGGACCACCGAAGAUCGUGUGGCGCACGGGAGACAGCAACUCCACCAGCUAUUGUGUUGUGCCCACCGACAGCAAUAACAAAGAUACAGAGGUCAUUGCUAGACAUGACUGCCAUGUUUGCAAUCUAUUGGGUAGUCCUAUUUGGUGGAUUGCAUCUAUAG
RNAcentral lists this ribosomal RNA (363 nucleotides) under Triticum aestivum (bread wheat). Its description in RNAcentral is "partial small subunit ribosomal RNA". The record is from RNAcentral. Lineage: Eukaryota; Viridiplantae; Streptophyta; Magnoliopsida; Poales; Poaceae.